Non-coding RNA from Kogia breviceps (pygmy sperm whale), 995 nucleotides. NCBI's taxonomy places the organism in Eukaryota, Metazoa, Chordata, Mammalia, Artiodactyla, Physeteridae. The record is from RefSeq and is a predicted model, not a curated record.
AGGGUGUUGUCUGAGACUGAUCUUGGCGAGAAGCAAAAUCAGGACUUGAGAGGGACUCUCUGGAGGCAUGAAAGCCCCACUGGCCUCAAUGUCCCUCCUUCUUCUAAACAAAUACAUCUUGAAGAAGAGGAAGGAUUGAAGAGACCAAAUGCUUGGAUUGCGUGUAAAAGAGAACACAUGAAUCUGCUUUACCCACAAUGAUGAUGGAUCCCCAUCAAAGAGCUUUUCCUUCCGAGGAUCAGAAGUCAUCUGACACAGUGGAUGCAGAUCAGACUCUUUAAGACAAAUGAUACUUGCAAGUGGAGUGAAAAAGAUGAUAAGAUUUAAGAAUCAAACCUGUUGGAUUCUGCACCUGAUUCUGUCAGAGUGGACUGACACUGGGAACACGUCAUUUAAUUUUCUGAUUCAUCAUCAAGACCUUUGCAUGUGCGUGGCCAUCAUUUCCUUGUAGGGAUGGAUGGCUGAAAAAUCAAAAUCUAUCACGAUCCUCUGAUGAGAGAGACUCUUCCUAAAUCAUCUCUGAAUGAACGGGGAAGCCUAUCUGACAGAAACCAAAAGAGAGCUGGGGGUCCCAAAGCAAGAUAUUCAAAAAGCAAGGCAUGACAAAGACGACAACACCACAGGAGGACCUGCAGCCCCUGAAUCACUGAGAUGGGUAGCUUUACAGGAGCCAUGAGAAGAGUCUGAUUCAUUCCUGCACCAGGGCACGCUGGCACGUCCUGCUUCCUGAACUGCAGUGAUUCGUCACAACCCUAGGCAGCCAAUCACGGGCGGGUCAACGCGGAAAGAGAAUGAAAGUCACUGUGAGUUCAGAAAAAUUCCCAAAGCCGGUAAUAACCAAGAGAGAAGCAGUAGUAGUUUGAUGAAAGGAGAACCCGCCAGCACCCCCUCCCCGGCCAACAAAUUCCCCAGGAAUUACCAAAUGUAGAAAGAAAUUCAAGGAAGGCUAAUCAAGAUGAUCUAAGGCGUUAUUGCAACUGCGUGAAAUAUACUUG